Molecule: long non-coding RNA, 282 nt
Organism: Mastomys coucha (southern multimammate mouse)
Lineage: Eukaryota; Metazoa; Chordata; Mammalia; Rodentia; Muridae
Exons: 2
Source: RefSeq, a predicted model, not a curated record
CAACGGAUCAUAAAACCGCGGAAAGGCCUGUAAAAGGAAGGAGCAAGGAAGCAUCCAUGUGGGCCGCGCGGACUCAGGAAUUGUUCCCGAGUGAUAAAGUGUCCAUUAGAGAGGGAGCCCUCAUCCCACCGCCCACCAGCUUUGCGUUGUAUCAGCUGCCCUAGGAGAUCCCUCUCAUCUGAACUUGUAAGGCUGUGGAUUAAAUCUCCGGAUUCCCAGAGCCAAGACUGGAAAUUGUCAUAUUGAAAUGGCAUUAAUAAAUGACAUUGACAGUAAAUAGUA